GGUCCGAUGGUGUAGUUGGUUAUCACGUGUGCCUCACAACGGAACGCACAAGGUCGCCGGUUCGAGCCCGGCUCGGAUCA
Molecule: transfer RNA, 80 nt
Organism: Coniochaeta ligniaria NRRL 30616
Lineage: Eukaryota; Fungi; Ascomycota; Sordariomycetes; Coniochaetales; Coniochaetaceae
Rfam family: tRNA
About the family: Transfer RNA (tRNA) molecules are approximately 80 nucleotides in length. Their secondary structure includes four short double-helical elements and three loops (D, anti-codon, and T loops).
Source: Rfam